RNAcentral lists this ribosomal RNA (459 nucleotides) under uncultured bacterium. RNAcentral describes it as "partial 16S ribosomal RNA". It matches the Rfam family "Bacterial small subunit ribosomal RNA", at positions 339 to 795 of the family's 1533-position model. The record is from RNAcentral.
CUACGGGUGGCUCCAGUGAGGAAUAUUGGUCAAUGGGCGCAAGCCUGAACCAGCCAUCCCGCGUGGAGGAAGACGGCCCUAUGGGUUGUAAACUCCUUUUAUAAGGGAAGAACAUACGUAUCGUGAUAUGUUUUGACGGUACCUUAUGAAUAAGCAUCGGCUAACUCCGUGCCAGCAGCCGCGGUAAUACGGAGGAUGCAAGCGUUAUCCGGAUUCAUUGGGUUUAAAGGGUGCGCAGGCGGACCAAUAAGUCAGUGGUGAAAUCUUACGGCUCAACCGUGAAACUGCCAUUGAUACUGUUAGUCUUGAGUACGGCUGAGGUAGGCGGAAUGUGUAAUGUAGCGGUGAUAUGCUUAGAUAUUACACAGAACACCAAUUGCGUAGGCAGCUUACUAGACCGUAACUGACGCUGAGGCACGAAAGCGUGGGUAGCGAACAGGAUUAGAUACCCGCGUAGUC